UUGAGCAAUACCGGCCCCAACACUAACCCGUGAGGGACACCUCUUGUUACCUGUCUACAGUUGGACAUUGAGCCGUUGACCACAACUCUUUGCAUGCGGCCAUCCAGCCAG
This is a long non-coding RNA of Strigops habroptila (Kakapo), 111 nucleotides long. RefSeq lists it as uncharacterized. The record is from RefSeq and is a predicted model, not a curated record. The transcript is spliced from 3 exons. Lineage: Eukaryota; Metazoa; Chordata; Aves; Psittaciformes; Psittacidae.